GAGUAUCUGUAUAGAUACUGUAUAGAGUAUCUGUACAGAGUAUCUGUAUAGAUACUAUAUAGAGUAUCUGUAUAGAGACUGUAUAGAGUAUCUGUAUAGAGACUGUAUAGAGUAUCUGUAUAGAUACUGUAUAGAGUAUCUGUACAGAGUAUCCGUAUAGAGUAUCUGUAUAGAUACUGUAUAGAGUAUCUGUAUAGAUCUACCAGCAGUUGUUUUUGAAGGCUGAGGGAGAACACUGUUAUACAAUUUGGUUAAAGUAUUUCCAAACAGGGAAAUGCAUAAUCAUGUGUGGAGUAGUGUCUUCGAUGUAGCCUAACUAUACUGGAGUAGUGUCCUCGAUGUAGCCUAACUAUGCUGGAGUAGUGUCUUCGAUGUAGCCUAACUAUACUGGAGUAGUGUCCUCGAUGUAGCCUAACUAUGCUGUAGUAGUGUCCUCGAUGUAGCCUAACUAUACUGGAGUAGUGUCCUCGAUGUAGCCUAACUAUGCUGUAGUAGAAAUACAGUAACUGUCAUACAGGUGUGUGGAAAUACAGUAACUGUCAUACAGGUGUGUGAAAAUACAGUAACUGUCAUAUAGGUGUGUGGAAAUACAGUAACUGUCAUAUAGGUGUGUGGAAAUACAGUAACUGUCAUACAGGUGUGUGGAAAUACAGUAACUGUCAUAUAGGUGUGUGGAAAUACAGUAACUGUCAUACAGGUGUGUGGAAAUACAGUAACUGUCAUACAGGUGUUUGGCCUCCGGGGGGCAGACAGACAUUGUGUAGAAAAGUCAACUCUUUGAAGAAUGUGCUUCUCUAAGCAUUCAAUAUGUAGAAACAUUAUAAAGUGUUUGAUAUUACAAUCUAGCUAGG
Oncorhynchus tshawytscha (Chinook salmon) is the source of this 851-nucleotide long non-coding RNA. The record is from Ensembl. Lineage: Eukaryota; Metazoa; Chordata; Actinopteri; Salmoniformes; Salmonidae.